Aedes albopictus (Asian tiger mosquito) is the source of this 73-nucleotide non-coding RNA. The record is from Rfam. NCBI's taxonomy places the organism in Eukaryota, Metazoa, Arthropoda, Insecta, Diptera, Culicidae.
UGUUCUGUGGCUUAAUUGGUUAUAGCGCCGGACUAGCGAUACAGAGUCGUGGGCUCGAAUCCCAUCAAAAGAA